GAAUUCGCCCUUAGUUCAAUCGCAAUGGCUUGAACCGGGUAAAAGUCGUAACAAGGUAUCUGUAGGUGAACCUGCAGAUGGAUCAUCGCUAAAACCACCACAAAACAAACUCAUCGUCAUCAUCGUUAUAGAGGUGAUGUGAUGCGUGGAUGGUUAAUGGAGGAAUGAUCAACGAGAAACCAACAUGCGUCACCAUGUAUGUAUGUGUGUAUGUAUGUAUGUAUGUAUGUAUGUACGUACAUACGUACGUAUAUAUGUAUAAUGUUGGCGGCUAUGUCGCCAAAGUUGGUAGUAUCGUAAUACCGUUAGAGCUCAACAAACAAGGUGUCUACGUAUAAGCAUGAGUCGUUCUAGAGUGACGGUUAUGAUUGUUUAUACGAGCGAAAGCAUACACACAAACUGUCGCUUAUGUAUAAGUUAAUGAUGCGAUUUGUUUCGUGAAUGUAUGAAGACUUAAUGAGCAUUGCAUGAAUGCCACCUUGAAUUGCUAUAGUUGUUGUGGAUGUUGAUGUCUGUUUCAUUACCGAUGUUGGUGUCGAUUUUUGCCGUUAACAUCGUAGUGAGAGACAAUGACAAUGACUACUGAAUAUGGUUGAUAGUGGUUAUGUUGGUGAUUAUGCAUGGCAUAGAUAUGAGUAAUAUAUGGCGUGUUCUAUUCGCUGUCUUCUAUGGAUGGCGCAUAGUGUCGCGUAUCUAUGACCAUGUGCCACCUGAUUAACAACAGGGAAUCCUAAUGACCCAAGCAUAAUAUAUGUGAAUGGGCGCCAACAUAGCAAAAACAGAAUUCCUAUAUGUGAGAAUGUGAAAAAGUGACAAUAUACACGUAUUCAUAUGUAUAUAUGUGUAUGUGUGUAUGGAAAUUGAUAUACUAGCUUCAGCGAUGGAUCGGUCGAUUCGCGUAUCGAUGAAAAACGCAGCUAGCUGUGUUAUUUACCACGAAUUGCAGACGCUUAGAGUGGUGAAAUUUUGAACGCAUAGCGUCGUUGGGUUUCCCCUUCGGCACAUCUGGUUCAGGGUUGUUAAAAAUUGGAACUAUUGUCGCAUACAUGUGCAUAUGACAGCACGUAUUCUUUACGCAUGAUGAAAGAAUGCUGGACAACAUUGCUUGUCGAACGGCGUUUUGCGUGGUCUUUUACGUGCGUGUGUUCAUGUUUGGACUAUUUGUCAAACGGUAACAGUGGUUGUCGUCGUCGAUAUGCUACUGUUCCCGUUUUAGUGAAGAAUACGAUAAUAGCUACAUGUAAUAAUUAUAUAUAUAUUAUUACACAAAACGUAAUAUGUGAUCAUGUGCUUGUAUGCUAGUAAUGUCAUUGCUACCGUCAUCGAUGUUGCUGAUUUUCAAUGAGUGUCGUUGAGAAUCGUGAAAUAAGAAGUAAUAUUAUCGAUCGAUGGGUGAAUGGAUGAAAUGUAUUUCAUAUGGUAAUGACAAGAAAUAUUGCUAGACAUAUUGCCAAUAGCACAUAGUUUUCAUGUAUUGCAUUUAAUUCUCAAAUAAUACAACCUGAACUCAGACGUGAUUACCCGCCGAACUUAAGCAUAUCAUUUAGCGGAGGAAAAG
RNAcentral lists this ribosomal RNA (1558 nucleotides) under Angiostrongylus vasorum (French heartworm). RNAcentral describes it as "eukaryotic LSU rRNA". The stretch from base 870 to 1019 matches the Rfam family "5.8S ribosomal RNA". The record is from RNAcentral. Lineage: Eukaryota; Metazoa; Nematoda; Chromadorea; Rhabditida; Metastrongylidae.